RNAcentral lists this unclassified non-coding RNA (282 nucleotides) under plant metagenome. Its description in RNAcentral is "partial contains small subunit ribosomal RNA, internal transcribed spacer 1, and 5.8S ribosomal RNA". The stretch from base 234 to 282 matches the Rfam family "5.8S ribosomal RNA", at positions 1 to 49 of the family's 154-position model. The record is from RNAcentral.
UAACCGUAGGUGAACCUGCGGUUGGAUCAUUACAGAAUACUCAGUCGGGAAUUUCGGUUCCCGAGUGAUAUUACACCCCCUUGUGAACUUUAUUUGUAUAUUUUUCUCGUAGGAGUCUUUCUCGAAAGGGGGAAAUUUCUAAGCGGAAAAUAUUUACACACACCUUUAUAUUUUAUUUCUAGAGUCUCCGAGCGAUUCUUAUUGAGAAACGCGUUUUUCAAAUAAUUAAAAACAACUUUUGACAACGGAUCUCUUGGCUCUCACAUCGAUGAAGAACGCAGC